CAGCAGUCGCCGCGGUAAUACGUAGGUGGCAAGCGUUGUCCGGAAUUAUUGGGCGUAAAGGGAGCGCAGGCGGUUUAGUAAGUCUGAAGUUAAAGGCAUUGGCUCAACCAAUGUAUGCUUUGGAAACUGUUAGACUUGAGUGCAGAAGGGGAGAGUGGAAUUCCAUGUGUAGCGGUGAAAUGCGUAGAUAUGUGGAGGAACACCGGUGGCGAAAGCGGCUCUCUGGUCUGUCACUGACGCUGAGGCUCGAAAGCGUGGGUAGCGAACAGGAUUAGAUACCCCGGUAGUCCCUGUCUCUUAUACA
This 304-nucleotide ribosomal RNA is filed under the name uncultured bacterium. RNAcentral describes it as "partial 16S ribosomal RNA". It matches the Rfam family "Bacterial small subunit ribosomal RNA", at positions 509 to 808 of the family's 1533-position model. The record is from RNAcentral.